GCAAACUUGGUCAUUUAGAGGAAGUAAAAGUCGUAACAAGGUUUCCGUAGGUGAACCUGCGGAAGGAUCAUUAUCGAAUUCAAGUAAAGGGUUGUGCUGGCCUUCACCGGCAAGUGCACGCCCGAUACACCCACACCUGUGCACCUAUCGACUGAAGCUCUGUAAUGGAGUGGAUGUCUUUACACACACGCUUAUUGAAACUUGUUUUUAUAAUAUCAUAUCGAAUGACAACUUUCAACAACGGAUCUCUUGGCUCUCGCAUCGAUGAAGAACGCAGC
This 278-nucleotide unclassified non-coding RNA is filed under the name uncultured fungus. RNAcentral's name for it is "partial contains small subunit ribosomal RNA, internal transcribed spacer 1, and 5.8S ribosomal RNA". The stretch from base 1 to 73 matches the Rfam family "Eukaryotic small subunit ribosomal RNA", at positions 1759 to 1831 of the family's 1831-position model. The record is from RNAcentral. Lineage: Eukaryota; Fungi.